This 557-nucleotide ribosomal RNA is filed under the name uncultured bacterium. RNAcentral describes it as "partial 16S ribosomal RNA". It matches the Rfam family "Bacterial small subunit ribosomal RNA", at positions 355 to 932 of the family's 1533-position model. The record is from RNAcentral.
UGGGGAAUAUUGGACAAUGGGCGCAAGCCUGAUCCAGCCAUGCCGCGUGAGUGAUGAAGGCCCUAGGGUUGUAAAGCUCUUUCACCGGUGAAGAUAAUGACGGUAACCGGAGAAGAAGCCCCGGCUAACUUCGUGCCAGCAGCCGCGGUAAUACGAAGGGGGCUAGCGUUGUUCGGAAUUACUGGGCGUAAAGCGCACGUAGGCGGACAUUUAAGUCAGGGGUGAAAUCCCGGGGCUCAACCCCGGAACUGCCUUUGAUACUGGGUGUCUAGAGUUCGAGAGAGGUGAGUGGAAUUCCGAGUGUAGAGGUGAAAUUCGUAGAUAUUCGGAGGAACACCAGUGGCGAAGGCGGCUCACUGGCUCGAUACUGACGCUGAGGUGCGAAAGCGUGGGGAGCAAAACAGGAUUAGAUACCCUGGUAGUCCACGCCGUAAACGAUGGAAGCCAGCUGUCGGCAAGUUUACUUGUCGGUGGCGCAGCUAACGCAUUAAGCUUCCCGCCUGGGGAGUACGGUCGCAAGAUUAAAAGCUUAAAGGGAAUUGACGGGGUCAUAGCUG